UACGUAGGGUGCAAGCGUUGUCCGGAAUUAUUGGGCGUAAAGAGCUCGUAGGCGGUCUGUCACGUCGGCUGUGAAAACCUGAGGCUCAACCUCGGGCCUGCAGUCGAUACGGGCAAACUAGAGUGUUGCAGGGGAGACUGGAAUUCCUGGUGUAGCGGUGAAAUGCGCAGAUAUCAGGAGGAACACCGAUGGCGAAGGCAGGUCUCUGGGCCGAUACUGACGCUGAGGAGCGAAAGCGUGGGGAGCGAACAGG
This 253-nucleotide ribosomal RNA is filed under the name uncultured bacterium. RNAcentral describes it as "partial 16S ribosomal RNA". It matches the Rfam family "Bacterial small subunit ribosomal RNA", at positions 524 to 776 of the family's 1533-position model. The record is from RNAcentral.